ACGCUCGACACCUACGGAAGGCAGCAGUGGGGGAUAUUGCACAAUGGGGGAAACCCUGAUGCAGCAACGCCGCGUGAGGGAAGACGGUUUUCGGAUUGUAAACCUCUGUCAUCGGUGACGAUAAUGACGGUAGCCGAUGAGGAAGCUCCGGCUAACUACGUGCCAGCAGCCGCGGUAAUCUGAGGCGGGCUGGCAAGGC
Molecule: ribosomal RNA, 199 nt
Filed under: uncultured bacterium
Lineage: Bacteria
Description: partial 16S ribosomal RNA
Rfam family: Bacterial small subunit ribosomal RNA
Source: RNAcentral